CGGGUCAGGUGACGCCACGUGCGUCUGCCAGAGGACGGUGGGAGUGUGCGCGGCUGCACCCGUGGGUGGCCGUUGGGGUGAGGCUGCUUCUUGGGGUCGUGGCCAUCCAGUGCCAUCAAGGGUCCCAGGCGGUGCCUGCCAUCUACUGAGGCCAGGUGGACGGCCCUCGACUGCUCUGCAGCAGAUGAUCUGUAAGAUGGCCUGGUCAAGGCUUCUAGCAGAUUGGGAUCUCUCUCUUCAGUCCAAGUGCAAAUGCUGAACACACCAGUUUCCUGGAGCUGCCGUCGGGACACCUUGUCGCUUCCAUGUAACUGAUGGGCUACCUUGUCACGUGCCAUUGCUGGGGAGGUAUGUCAGAUCCUUCACAGUUCCUGACAGCACAGCCUCCCAACCCCCAACAGACUCUGCCCUGUGUUCCUGCUCCAGCUUCAGCAGCAGAAAUCCCAGGAUGUGAGAGCUAGAAGACACCUGAGAGAUGAUCCCUUCCGUGGAUGACAGGUUCUUCUGGGGACCCUGCAGUGGUUUGGGUGCCGUGUUGUCUGCUUCCAGAACGAGGAUCUUCACUGUACAUCAGGACCCAGCCCCUCUGACAUCUCUUGAAUGAGAAACGAGGGGUUUAAUAAAACGGUGUAAAAUUUGUAGUUCA
Long non-coding RNA from Physeter macrocephalus (sperm whale), 646 nucleotides. RefSeq lists it as uncharacterized. The transcript has 5 exons. The record is from RefSeq and is a predicted model, not a curated record. Lineage: Eukaryota; Metazoa; Chordata; Mammalia; Artiodactyla; Physeteridae.